Molecule: ribosomal RNA, 582 nt
Filed under: uncultured Bacillota bacterium
Lineage: Bacteria; Bacillati; Bacillota
Description: bacterial SSU rRNA
Rfam family: Bacterial small subunit ribosomal RNA
Source: RNAcentral
GGAUCCAGACUUUGAUUAUGGCUCAGGACGAACGCUGGCGGCGUGCUUAACACAUGCAAGUCGAACGAGAAGAGAUGAGAAGCUUGCUUCUUAUUGAUUCGAGUGGCAAACGGGUGAGUAACGCGUAAGCAACCUGCCCUCUAGAUGGGGACAACAGCUGGAAACGGCUGCUAAUACCGAAUACGUUCUUUCUGUCGCAUGGCAGAGGGAAGAAAGGGAGGCUCUUCGGAGCUUUCGCUGGAGGAGGGGCUUGCGUCUGAUUAGCUAGUUGGAGGGGUAACGGCCCACCAAGGCGACGAUCAGUAGCCGGUCUGAGAGGAUGAACGGCCACAUUGGGACUGAGACACGGCCCAGACUCCUACGGGAGGCAGCAGUGGGGAAUCUUCCGCAAUGGACGAAAGUCUGACGGAGCAACGCCGCGUGAACGAUGACGGCCUUCGGGUUGUAAAGUUCUGUUAUACGGGACGAAUGGUACGACGGCCAAUACCCGUCGUACGUGACGGUACCGUAAGAGAAAGCCACGGCUAACUACGUGCCAGCAGCCGCGGUAAUACGUAGGUGGCAAGCGUUGUCCGGAAUUAU